CGGGGUGAGUAAUGCUUGGGAAUCUAGCUUAUGGAGGGGGAUAACUACGGGAAACUGUAGCUAAUACCGCGUAGAAUCGAGAGAUGAAAGUGUGGGACCUUCGGGCCACAUGCCAUAGGAUGAGCCCAAGUGGGAUUAGGUAGUUGGUGAGGUAAAGGCUCACCAAGCCGACGAUCUCUAGCUGGUCUGGGAGGAUGACCAGCCACACUGGGACUGAGACACGGCCCAG
RNAcentral lists this ribosomal RNA (229 nucleotides) under uncultured bacterium. RNAcentral's name for it is "partial 16S ribosomal RNA". It matches the Rfam family "Bacterial small subunit ribosomal RNA", at positions 104 to 334 of the family's 1533-position model. The record is from RNAcentral.